Molecule: non-coding RNA, 52 nt
Organism: Mus musculus (house mouse)
Lineage: Eukaryota; Metazoa; Chordata; Mammalia; Rodentia; Muridae
Source: Rfam
GGUAAAGGGUGGAAGGGGCCAGGCCCAGGCCCCAGAACAAUGUUAUUGGGUA